Molecule: long non-coding RNA, 476 nt
Filed under: Rhinopithecus bieti (black snub-nosed monkey)
Lineage: Eukaryota; Metazoa; Chordata; Mammalia; Primates; Cercopithecidae
Description: lncRNA (ENSRBIG00000046425.1)
Source: RNAcentral
ACGGGGUUUCACCAUGUUGGCAAGGCUGGUCUCGAACUCCUAACCUCAAGCAAUCCGCCAGGCUUGGCCUCCCAAAGUGCUGGGAUUACAGGCACCUGUCUCCGCGUUCUGCAGCACAGCUGAGAUUUGCAUCUGAGUCUCCAGGUGGCUUCUCAGGGUUGACAGAACUGAGCACCGGAAAGGAGCACUUUACAUGGCAGCAGAAGGAGGUCAGCGCUCCCCCCACUUCUCCAGCGCCGCGUGCGGAGAGACAAAGAAAUUGAUUUUCCAAUCGAUGCUCUGAGCAAUGAUUAAAUGUUCUCUGCACAGCGGGCCUAAUGAGUCCCCAAGGGGCGUGCCGGCCCUUUAAUUAGAGACUCCCACGGGGGCCUGGGAUGGGGGACCCGCCUGGAGUGAGGGGGUCCAGUCAGGAGGAGGCCCCAUCCCCAGGGAUCGGUGGCCUGGGCCUCUGAGAGAUAGUGUCUGGGGGCCCCUCG